This 443-nucleotide ribosomal RNA is filed under the name uncultured bacterium. RNAcentral's name for it is "partial 16S ribosomal RNA". It matches the Rfam family "Bacterial small subunit ribosomal RNA", at positions 338 to 795 of the family's 1533-position model. The record is from RNAcentral.
CCUACGGGGGGCAGCAGUGGGGAAUAUUGCACAAUGGGGGAAACCCUGAUGCAGCGACGCCGCGUGAGUGAAGAAGUAUUUCGGUACGUAAAGCUCUAUCAGCAGGGAAGAAAGAAAUGACGGUACCUGACUAAGAAGCCCCGGCUAACUACGUGCCAGCAGCCGCGGUAAUACGUAGGGGGCAAGCGUUAUCCGGAUUUACUGGGUGUAAAGGGAGCGUAGACGGUUACGCAAGUCAGAUGUGAAAACUCAGGGCUCAACCCUGAGCCUGCAUUUGAAACUGUGUUUCUUGAGUGCUGGAGAGGCAAUCGGAAUUCCGUGUGUACCGGUGAAAUGCGUAGAUAUACGGAGGAACACCAGUGGCGAAGGCGGAUUGCUGGACAGUAACUGACGCUGAGGCGCGAAAGCGUGGGGAGCAAACAGGAUUAGAUACCCUUGUAGUC